RNAcentral lists this ribosomal RNA (882 nucleotides) under uncultured bacterium. RNAcentral describes it as "bacterial SSU rRNA". It matches the Rfam family "Bacterial small subunit ribosomal RNA", at positions 27 to 906 of the family's 1533-position model. The record is from RNAcentral.
GGACGAACGCUGGCGGCGUGCCUAACACAUGCAAGUCAGGGAGAAAGAGGUAGCAAUAUCUUGAGUAAACCGGCGAACGGGUGAGUAACACGUAAGCAACCUUCCUUAUGAACGGGAAUAACCCCGCGAAAGCGGGGCUAAUACCCGAUGACAUUUCGGUGCAGCAUUACACUGAACUCAAAGGCUCCAAAAGAGCGUCAUAAGAUGGGCUUGCGUCCCAUUAGAUAGUUGGCGGGGUAACGGCCCACCAAGUCGACGAUGGGUAGCUGGUCUGAGAGGACGAUCAGCCACACUGGAACUGAGACACGGUCCAGACUUCUACGGAAGGCAGCAGUGAGGAAUAUUGCUCAAUGGGCGAAAGCCUGAAGCAGCGACGCCGCGUGAGGGAUGAAAUCCGUUAGGAUGUAAACCUCUUUUGAAGGGGAUGAAUGUCCCGACUUGUCGGGAUUGACCGUACCCUGUGAAUAAGCACCGGCCAACUACGUGCCAGCAGCCGCGGUAAUACGUAGGGUGCAAGCGUUGUCCGGAAUUACUGGGUGUAAAGGGUCCGCAGGCGGGCAGACAAGUCGGUGGUGAAAGCUCUUCGCUUAACGGAGAGACUGCCAUCGAUACUGUUUGUCUUGAGUUCGAGAGAGGAUGAUGGAAUUCAUGGUGUAGCGGUGAAAUGCGUAGAGAUCAUGAAGAACACCGGUAGCGAAGGCGGUCAUCUGGCUCGAUACUGACGCUCAGGGACGAAAGCGUGGGUAGCAAACAGGAUUAGAUACCCUGGUAGUCCACGCCUUAAACGAUGGAUAUUCGGUGUCGGUCCGCAAGGAUCGGUGCCUGAGCCAACGCGUUAAAUAUCCCACCUGGGGAGUACGAUCGCAAGGUUGAAACUCAAAU